CCAGUGAACAGUGCCUUCAUUUCUCGAAUUUCCUGCUUUCUGUCAACAUGCAUCACACAGUUACAUGCUCUUCCUGUGGUUGCAAUCAGUUUAUCUUUGCAUUCUGCUGUUUUAAAAUUUAACGCCCAUUUCUGUGGAUUGGCAUAGCCCACAUUCUUGUGAAUCACCCACAGUGAUUCCUGCAGUGUUGUCCCCAGCCUCAAGCCUCUCUGCACCGUAAUUGUGCUUCUUUUCCUCAGAUACCUGCCUUGCAUUGGCCCUGGGUAAAUGUUUCCCUUGGCUGUGAAUAGGCAAUUAAAAUUCUGAACCUUUUAUGGCUCUGGAAGCUUAUCCGAUGAAACAAUACUCAUCCAGGCGGAUGGCCCACCAGCGCAAAGGGCUGAGGCCGCUGUAAGCCAAGGUACGCAACGCUUGCUAAACAGGAAUCCCUGGAAUGAAUCCAUGCAUGAGGCCUUUGUGCCAUGUGACAGUUGAAGGCUGUGGUGACCCCGGAACCGUCCCACUCCGAGACGCCUUAACACCGUUUUUCUGCUGUUACAAACCACAGAGCAACGCGUGUGCCUCCUCCCGCCCUGGGGACUCUUUCUGUGGGAGAGGUGCCUGGAUUUAGAGGAGCGACCACUCUUCAUUUGUAGGUACUCUCCCUAGCCUGGGAGCCCUUCAGCUCCCACUCCAGAGUGGUUGUUGGUGGUAAUACGCCAGGCCUGGGGAAGCAGGAGUGGGAAGGUGUGAGAGGUGGGGGAGUGUGGUUGUCAACUGUUCUGAUUUUCCACCAGGAUCUUGGUCACUUUCCCAGUUGUCACUCGGCCCACAAACUAGGAUGUGAGCAGCAUAUUAAGAAUCUGCAGAGAUGUUCCCGUCUGCCCGGCAUAUGGAUGUCCUUCUGGGCUGCAAAGUGGCAUCCUGUGGGCAACUCCCCCCACAACAACCAGCUGUGAGCUGUGCCCAGGCACAGAGGGACCUGGCUUUCCCUGUUUCUGCAGAUGGAGCCCAGGGUUUCAGGGAGGGAGGGGGCAGGCUGGGACCUGUUGGGGAUCUGGGCACUUUCUCAUGCUCCUUGAGCUGCAAGUCAUAGAAGGAGUGGGGUGGGAGCUGGGAAUGUACCUUCCCAAGGCCACUGGCAGAACCAGCAGGCCCUUUGCUCUGGGAUGAGCUCCCUCUGAGGGGUGGGGACAGUAAAGCGGACCGAAGUCCCUGUUCUGCGGGAUGGAAACUGGCUCCCCUCCAUUGUACAGGCCAGCUCUGGGGAUUUGGGCAGCAGAUUUGGGGUUGACAGCAGAAUGACAUGAUCACCAGUUGACCUUGGCCAGGAUGCCAGCUUACUUUCUCGCUUACUUCUGCAGGUUCUUUGUUCUGCGG
Molecule: long non-coding RNA, 1359 nt
Filed under: Homo sapiens (human)
Lineage: Eukaryota; Metazoa; Chordata; Mammalia; Primates; Hominidae
Description: HSALNT0363056
Source: RNAcentral